GACAGAGGUGCCGAGCGUUAGGCGGAAUCACUGGGCUUAAAGCGUGUGUAGGCGGGCGAUCAAGUACCUUGUGAAAUCCCACGGCUCAACCGUGGAACCGCUGGGUAUACUGGUUGUCUUGAGCCGGCUAGGGGCGAGCGGAACAGACGGUGGAGCGGUGAAAUGCGUAGAUAUCGUCUGGAACGCCGAAGGUGAAAACAGCUCGCUGGGGCCGCGCUGACGCUGAGACACGAAAGCCAGGGGAGCAAACAGG
RNAcentral lists this ribosomal RNA (253 nucleotides) under uncultured bacterium. RNAcentral describes it as "partial 16S ribosomal RNA". It matches the Rfam family "Bacterial small subunit ribosomal RNA", at positions 524 to 776 of the family's 1533-position model. The record is from RNAcentral.